RNAcentral lists this ribosomal RNA (479 nucleotides) under uncultured bacterium. RNAcentral's name for it is "bacterial SSU rRNA". It matches the Rfam family "Bacterial small subunit ribosomal RNA", at positions 30 to 507 of the family's 1533-position model. The record is from RNAcentral.
AUUGAACGCUGGCGGAAUGCUUUACACAUGCAAGUCGAACGGUAGAGGGGGCAACCCCUCGAGAGUGGCGAACGGGUGAGUAAUAUAUCGGAACGUGCCCAGUCGUGGGGGAUAACGUAGCGAAAGUUACGCUAAUACCGCAUACGAUCUACGGAUGAAAGCGGGGGACUCGCAAGAGCCUCGCGCGAUUGGAGCGGCCGAUAUCAGAUUAGCUAGUUGGUGGGGUAAAGGCCCACCAAGGCAACGAUCUGUAGCUGGUUUGAGAGAACGACCAGCCACACUGGGACUGAGACACGGCCCAGACUCCUACGGGAGGCAGCAGUGGGGAAUUUUGGACAAUGGGCGAAAGCCUGAUCCAGCAAUGCCGCGUGCAGGAUGAAGGCCUCGGUUGUAAACUGCUUUGUACGGAGCGAAAAGGCUUCUUCUAAUACAGGAGGCUCAUGACGGUACCGUAAGAAUAAGCACCGGCUAACUACGUG